UACGAAGGGGGCUAGCGUUGCUCGGAAUUAUUGGGCGUAAAGGGCUCGUAGGCGGUUUGUCGCGUCGGGGGUGAAAACACGGGGCUUAACCCCGUGCCUGCUUCCGAUACGGGCAGACUAGAGGUAUGCAGGGGAGAACGGAAUUCCUGGUGUAGCGGUGAAAUGCGCAGAUAUCAGGAGGAACACCGAUUGCGAAGGCAGCUCGCUGGGACGUCACUGACGCUGAGACGCGAAAGCGUGGGGAGCAAACAGG
This 253-nucleotide ribosomal RNA is filed under the name uncultured bacterium. Its description in RNAcentral is "partial 16S ribosomal RNA". It matches the Rfam family "Bacterial small subunit ribosomal RNA", at positions 524 to 776 of the family's 1533-position model. The record is from RNAcentral.